Molecule: ribosomal RNA, 492 nt
Filed under: uncultured bacterium
Lineage: Bacteria
Description: partial 16S ribosomal RNA
Rfam family: Bacterial small subunit ribosomal RNA
Source: RNAcentral
AGUGAACGCUGGCGGUAGGCCUAACACAUGCAAGUCGAACGGCAGCACAGUAAGAGCUUGCUCUUACGGGUGGCGAGUGGCGGACGGGUGAGGAAUACAUCGGAAUCUACUUUUUCGUGGGGGAUAACGUAGGGAAACUUACGCUACUACCGCAUACGACCUACGGGUGAAAGCAGUGGAUCUUCGGACCUUGCGCGAUUGAAUGAGCCGAUGUCGGAUUAGCUAGUUGGCGGGGUAAAGGCCCACCAAGGCGACGAUCCGUAGCUGGUCUGAGAGGAUGAUCAGCCACACUGGAACUGAGACACGGUCCAGACUCCUACGGGAGGCAGCAGUGGGGAAUAUUGGACAAUGGGCGCAAGCCUGAUCCAGCCAUACCGCGUGAGUGAAGAAGGCCUUCGGGUUGUAAAGCCCUUUUGUUGGGAAAGAAAAGCAGCAGGAUAAUACCCCGAUGUUCUGACGGUACCCAAAGAAUAAGCACCGGCUAACUUCGUG